Molecule: ribosomal RNA, 497 nt
Filed under: uncultured bacterium
Lineage: Bacteria
Description: partial 16S ribosomal RNA
Rfam family: Bacterial small subunit ribosomal RNA
Source: RNAcentral
GACGAACGCUGGCGGCGUGCCUAAUACAUGCAAGUUGAGCGCUGAAGGCUGGUACUUGUACCAACUGGAUGAGCAGCGAACGGGUGAGUAACGCGUGGGGAAUCUGCCUUUGAGCGGGGGACAACAUUUGGAAACGAAUGCUAAUACCGCAUAAAAACUUUAAACACAAGUUUUAAGUUUGAGAGAUGCAAUUGCAUCACUCAAAGAUGACCCCGCGUUGUAUUAGCUAGUUGGUGAGGUAAAGGCUCACCAAGGCGAUGAUACAUAGCCGACCUGAGAGGGUGGUCGGCCGCAUUGAGACUGAGACACGGCCCAAACUCAUACGGGAGGCAGCAGUAGGGCAUCUUCGGCCAUGGGCGGAAGUCUGACCGAGAAACGCGGCGUGAGUGAGGAGGGUUUUCGGGUCGUAGAACUCUGUUGGUAGGGAAGAACGUUGGUGAGAGUGGAAAGCUCAUCAAGUGACGGUAACUACCCAGAAAGGAACGGCUAACUACGUG